RNAcentral lists this ribosomal RNA (497 nucleotides) under uncultured bacterium. Its description in RNAcentral is "partial 16S ribosomal RNA". It matches the Rfam family "Bacterial small subunit ribosomal RNA", at positions 28 to 507 of the family's 1533-position model. The record is from RNAcentral.
GAUGAACGCUGGCGGCGUGCCUAAUACAUGCAAGUCGAGCGAACGGACGAGAAGCUUGCUUCUCUGAUGUUAGCGGCGGACGGGUGAGUAACACGUGGAUAACCUACCUAUAAGACUGGGAUAACUUCGGGAAACCGUAGCUAAUACCGGAUAAUAUUUUGAACCGCAUGGUUCAAAAGUGAAAGACGGUCUUGCUGUCACUUAUAGAUGGAUCCGCGCUGCAUUAGCUAGUUGGUAAGGUAACGGCUUACCAAGGCAACGAUGCAUAGCCGACCUGAGAGGGUGAUCGGCCACACGGGAACUGAGACACGGUCCAGACUCCUACGGGAGGCAGCAGUAGGGAAUCUUCCGCAAAGGGCGAAAGCCUGACGGAGCAACGCCGCGUGAGUGAUGAAGGUCUUCGGAUCGUAAAACUCUGUUAUUAGGGAAGAACAUAUGUGUAAGUAACUGUGCACAUCUUGACGGUACCUAAUCAGAAAGCCACGGCUAACUACGUG